Long non-coding RNA from Neopelma chrysocephalum (saffron-crested tyrant-manakin), 279 nucleotides. RefSeq lists it as uncharacterized. NCBI's taxonomy places the organism in Eukaryota, Metazoa, Chordata, Aves, Passeriformes, Pipridae. The record is from RefSeq and is a predicted model, not a curated record. The transcript has 2 exons.
AGUACUGACCAGUACCGACCAGUACCAACCUGACAGGUCCCCACCCAGCUCAGCAUGGCUCAGACUGUGCCAAUCCAACCCAUGAGAGUCCAUCAUGAAAGAGCACAUCCCAGUCUCCACGACCACUGACAGAUCCAACACUGAAUAGAUCUUUAAUGGUAUCUGGCCAUAACACUUGUUGCUAAAAACGUUGCAAUGACUGAGCAGGAAAGAUACCUUCUUCAGAAAAUGGAAACAGCUGGAUGUCGUGCACAGAAAUAAAUUAGUUGUCUGUGGGUA